This 465-nucleotide ribosomal RNA is filed under the name uncultured bacterium. RNAcentral's name for it is "partial 16S ribosomal RNA". It matches the Rfam family "Bacterial small subunit ribosomal RNA", at positions 28 to 507 of the family's 1533-position model. The record is from RNAcentral.
GACGAACGCUGGCGGCGUGCUUAACACAUGCAAGUCGAACGGAAAGGCCCUGCUUGCAGGGUACUUGAGUGGCGAACGGGUGAGUAACACGUGGGUGAUCUGCCCUGCACUUCGGGAUAAGCCUGGGAAACUGGGUCUAAUACCGGAUAGGAGCCAUUUUUAGUGUGAUGGUUGGAAAGUUUUUUCGGUGUAGGAUGAGCUCGCGGCCUAUCAGCUUGUUGGUGGGGUAAUGGCCUACCAAGGCGGCGACGGGUAGCCGGCCUGAGAGGGUGGACGGCCACAUUGGGACUGAGAUACGGCGCAGACUCCUACGGGAGGCAGCAGUGGGGAAUAUUGCACAAUGGGCGCAAGCCUGAUGCAGCGACGCCGCGUGGGGGAUGACGGCCUUCGGGUUGUAAACUCCUUUCGCUAGGGACGAAGCUUUUUGUGACGGUACCUAGAUAAGAAGCACCGGCUAACUACGUG